UAGGGAAUCUUCCACAAUGGACGCAAGUCUGAUGGAGCAACGCCGCGUGAGUGAAGAAGGCUUUCGGGUCGUAAAACUCUGUUAUUGAAGAAGAACGUGUGUGACAGUAACUGGUCAUGCAGUGACGGUAUUCAAUCAGAAAGUCACGGCUAACUACGUGCCAGCAGCCGCGGUAAUACGUAGGUGGCAAGCGUUGUCCGGAUUUAUUGGGCGUAAAGCGAGUGCAGGCGGUCUUUUAAGUCUGAUGUGAAAGCCUUCGGCUUAACCGAAGAAGGGCAUCGGAAACUGGGAGACUUGAGUGCAGAAGNAGGAGAGUGGAACUCCAUGUGUAGCGGUGAAAUGCGUAGAUAUAUGGAAGAACACCAGUGGCGAAGGCGGCUCUCUGGUCUGUAACUGACGCUGAGGCUCGAAAGCGUGGGUAGCAAACAGGAU
This 432-nucleotide ribosomal RNA is filed under the name uncultured bacterium. Its description in RNAcentral is "partial 16S ribosomal RNA". It matches the Rfam family "Bacterial small subunit ribosomal RNA", at positions 355 to 778 of the family's 1533-position model. The record is from RNAcentral.